Molecule: non-coding RNA, 454 nt
Organism: Herpailurus yagouaroundi (jaguarundi)
Lineage: Eukaryota; Metazoa; Chordata; Mammalia; Carnivora; Felidae
Source: the annotation of a RefSeq genome assembly
CCCGGGCAGACAAGCCCUAGCUCUGGGCCUAAGAAGGGGGUGUGUCACCAUGGCCUGGAUCCCCGUCCUCCUCGUGCUCCUCUGUCACUGUGCAGGUUCCCUGUCCCAGCCUGUCGUGACUCAGCCAGCCUCCCUCUCUGCAUCUCUGGGAGCAACAGCCAGACUCACCUGCACCCUGAGCAGGGACAUCAAUGUUGGAAGCUAUAACAUAUACUGGUACCAACAGAAGCCAGGGAGCCCUCCCCGGUAUCUCCUGUACUACUACUCAGACUCCAGUACACAGUUGGGACCUGGGGUCCCCAGCCGCUUCUCCGGAUCCAAAGAUGCCUCGGCCAAUGCAGGGCUCCUGCUCAUCUCUGGGCUGCAACCUGAGGACGAGACUGACUAUUACUGUGGUAUAUAUCAUGGCAGUGGGAGCAGCUAUCGUUACUCACAGUGAUUCAGAUAACGAGGA